UUUAAAUUGAGAGUUUGAUCCUGGCUCAGGAUGAACGCUGGCGGCGUGCUUAACACAUGCAAGUCGAGCGAGGGAGCACCUUCGGGUGUGAACUAGCGGCGGACGGGUGAGUAACACGUGGGCAACCUGCCUUACAGAGGGGGAUAGCCUUCCGAAAGGAAGAUUAAUACCGCAUAUUAUGRUUUUUCUGCAUGGGAAAGUCAUGAAAGGAGCAAUCCGCUGUAAGAUGGGCCCGCGGCGCAUUAGCUAGUUGGUGAGGUAAGGGCUCACCAAGGCGACGAUGCGUAGCCGACCUGAGAGGGUGAUCGGCCACAUUGGGACUGAGACACGGCCCAGACUCCUACGGGAGGCAGCAGUGGGGAAUAUUGCACAAUGGGGGAAACCCUGAUGCAGCAACGCCGCGUGAGUGAUGACGGCCUUCGGGUUGUAAAGCUCUGUCUUCAGGGACGAUAAUGACGGUACCUGAGGAGGAAGCCACGGC
This 481-nucleotide ribosomal RNA is filed under the name Clostridium cadaveris. Its description in RNAcentral is "bacterial SSU rRNA". The record is from RNAcentral. Lineage: Bacteria; Bacillati; Bacillota; Clostridia; Eubacteriales; Clostridiaceae.